This 464-nucleotide ribosomal RNA is filed under the name uncultured bacterium. RNAcentral's name for it is "partial 16S ribosomal RNA". It matches the Rfam family "Bacterial small subunit ribosomal RNA", at positions 339 to 795 of the family's 1533-position model. The record is from RNAcentral.
CUACGGGUCGCUCCAGUGGGGAAUAUUGCACAAUGGGCGCAAGCCUGAUGCAGCCAUGCCGCGUGUAUGAAGAAGGCCUUCGGGUUGUAAAGUACUUUCAGCGGGGAGGAAGGGAGUAAAGUUAAUACCUUUGCUCAUUGACGUUACCCGCAGAAGAAGCACCGGCUAACCCCGUGCCAGCAGCCGCGGUAAUACGGAGGGUGCAAGCGUUAAUCGGAAUUACUGGGCGUAAAGCGCACGCAGGCGGUUUGUUAAGUCAGAUGUGAAAUCCCCGGGCUCAACCUGGGAACUGCAUCUGAUACUGGCAAGCUUGAGUCUCGUAGAGGGGGGUAGAAUUCCAGGUGUAGCGGUGAAAUGCGUAGAGAUCUGGAGGAAUACCGGUGGCGAAGGCGGCCCCCUGGACGAAGACUGACGCUCAGGUGCGAAAGCGUGGGGAGCAAACAGGAUUAGAUACCCCUGUAGUC